RNAcentral lists this ribosomal RNA (289 nucleotides) under uncultured Acidobacteriota bacterium. RNAcentral describes it as "uncultured Acidobacteria bacterium partial 16S ribosomal RNA". Lineage: Bacteria; Pseudomonadati; Acidobacteriota. The record is from RNAcentral.
CUACCGGGGUUUCUAAUCCUGUUUGCUACCCACGCUUUCGUGUCUCAGUGUCAGUUACGGUCCAGAGAGCCGUCUACACCACCGGUAUUCCUCCUGAUAUCUACGCAUUUCACCGCUACACCAGGAAUUCUACUCUCCCAUCCCGUACUCUAGCCCGCCAGUUUUCCGCGCACCCUCCCGGUUGAGCCGGGAGAUUUCACACGGAACUUAACAGGCCACCUACACACCCUUUACGCCCAGUAACUCCGAACAACGCUUGCUGCCUACGUAUUACCGCGGCUGCUGGCAC